RNAcentral lists this ribosomal RNA (409 nucleotides) under uncultured soil bacterium. RNAcentral describes it as "bacterial SSU rRNA". It matches the Rfam family "Bacterial small subunit ribosomal RNA", at positions 509 to 916 of the family's 1533-position model. The record is from RNAcentral.
CAGCAGCCGCGGUAAUACGGGGGGGGUAAGCGUUGUUCGGAAUUACUGGGCGUAAAGGGCUCGUAGGCGGCCAACUAAGUCAUACGUGAAAUCCCUCAGCUUAACUGGGGAACUGCGUGUGAUACUGGAUGGCUUGGAUUUGGGAGAGGGAUGCGGAAUUCCAGGUGUAGCGGUGAAAUGCGUAGAUAUCUGGAGGAACACCGGUGGCGAAGGCGGCAUCCUGGACCAAUAUUGACGCUGAGGAGCGAAAGCUAGGGGAGCAAACGGGAUUAGAUACCCCGGUAGUCCUAGCCCUAAACGAUGAAUGCUUGGUGUGGCGGGUAUCGAUCCCUGCCGUGCCGAAGCUAACGCAUUAAGCAUUCCGCCUGGGGAGUACGGUCGCAAGACUGAAACUCAAAGGAAUUGACGG